This 215-nucleotide ribosomal RNA is filed under the name Carchesium polypinum. RNAcentral's name for it is "partial 18S ribosomal RNA". It matches the Rfam family "Eukaryotic small subunit ribosomal RNA", at positions 1605 to 1831 of the family's 1831-position model. Lineage: Eukaryota; Ciliophora; Oligohymenophorea; Sessilida; Vorticellidae. The record is from RNAcentral.
GAGGAAUUCCUAGUAAGCGCAAGUCAUCAACUUGUGCUGAUUACGUCCCUGCAAAAUGUACACACCGCCCGUCGCUUUUACCGAUUGAGUGUCCAGGUGAGUCUUCUUGAUAGUUGCAAAAUUAAAAAUUAAACAAACCUUGGCACUUAGAGGAAAAAGAAGUCGUAACAAGGUUUCCGUAGGUGAACCUGCGGAAGGAUCAUUCAUAAUUUAUG